RNAcentral lists this ribosomal RNA (253 nucleotides) under uncultured bacterium. RNAcentral describes it as "partial 16S ribosomal RNA". It matches the Rfam family "Bacterial small subunit ribosomal RNA", at positions 524 to 776 of the family's 1533-position model. The record is from RNAcentral.
UACAGAGGUCUCAAGCGUUGUUCGGAAUUACUGGGCGUAAAGGGCGCGUAGGCGGCCUUCUAAGUCAGACGUGAAAUCCCCCGGCUUAACCUGGGAACUGCGUCUGAUACUGGGAGGCUUGAGUAUGGGAGAGGGAUGUAGAAUUCCAGGUGUAGCGGUGAAAUGCGUAGAUAUCUGGAGGAAUACCGGUGGCGAAGGCGGCAUCCUGGACCAUAACUGACGCUGAGGCGCGAAAGCUAGGGGAGCAAACGGG